Molecule: long non-coding RNA, 3980 nt
Organism: Limulus polyphemus (Atlantic horseshoe crab)
Lineage: Eukaryota; Metazoa; Arthropoda; Merostomata; Xiphosura; Limulidae
Exons: 4
Source: RefSeq, a predicted model, not a curated record
CACCUCGUGAAGCAAAAUGGCCUUUUACAAAUGCCGUCGCAGUUUGCGAGUGAUAUUUGUUGAAAUCAUAGAAUCGUUGGUAAUUUUCAAAAGAUUAUUUGCUUCUGAUUUUAAUUUUAUUCUGAAAGGAGUUUUGUAGCACAGGCUCUCCUCUCUCCAAUUGUGGAGUCCUGUUGCAGCAUGUUUUUCAGUGCUCAGUCCAGAGCGAAGCAUCUAAUAUACCUCAGUUGGUUCUUACCAGGAUUCCAAGAAGCAUUGCCAUGGUGAUAGGAGGAGUGGAUCCAGUCUUUAGUAUCACAUCUGUGAAAUAUGUCAAGUGUUAUUCCUAGUUAGUGAUCGACUAAUACACUGUACUCAGGAGAAACUGAAGGAUGAGUAAAGGACACCAAUAAGAUAAACAAAACACAAGCAAUAAACCUGAGGCCAGCUCUAAAGAAGUUUUGCCAUGGAAGCAUAGAUGCUAUAAAUAUCUGUGUUAUUUGUUGGAUAAGUGAUGAUGCAAAAAUAGAAAAAAAAAGCACUUCUAAAUUUCAUGUAAAUUUCAAAUGGUGAUUUGUGUAAUUAACUGACUACAUUAGGUGUCACACAUGAAAGAUUUUUGUACAAACUGUUCUGUAUACUAGUAACGAUAACAUUUUGUGUAAUCAGUAAGGUACAUCUAGCUUUGAGGAAUCCGCACUAGCAGUACUGUUGUAUCAAGUAAGUUGAAACUUAUAUUUCUGUAAUUACUUUAAAAGUAAUUGAGAUAGUAUGCCUUUUCAGGUGAGAACAUUUCAAGCACAAAAAAUGGUACAAAUGGUCGUAAAAGUUAUUAAUGAUGAAGAGUUGUUCCAUAAGGUUAUGGAUCAAGACCUCAUAUCAUAAAAAUUCUCUCUCUCUCACUCCUUGUGUAUUUGCAUUGAAUUAAAAAUAUGUUUACUAAAUUGUCACAGAUUGUGGCAAAUAGUAUGUAAUAAUGUGAACGUAUUAGGUUUAAUUAUGAAACUGCUUAUAAUCCAUUUGAUACAAUUAUAGUUUUAAGUGUAUGAUAAUUUAAAAAGGGUGUUACAAAGCACACUUGCCCAUCUUAGGUGCCAUUUACACAUAAAAGUUAUUGUCAUGACUCAAAAUUGCUCUGUAACAUAAUGGCAUUUACUAAUAGUUAAGCAAUAAAAAAUUUUAAUUUUUUUCUACAUUUUAAUUAUUUUUCAAAAGAACAUCAACCAUUAUGGACACAGGAUAGUAAAAUCAAGUAUAUUUAAAUGUCUCGGCAUUAUAAAAAAUGUAUAGGUUCUCAGUUUUAUUUUGUUUUAUUUAUGUAUUAUUACAAAAAGUUCAGCACUACCCCUGUUUAUUGAAAAUCUUAAAAAAAGAAAUGUACACUUGUGUGUGACUGUUUACUACCAUACAGAAAACCACGACAUUGGUUUUAUAUAUAAAACCAUUUUUUAACGGGAAAAUGCAACAAGCUUGCAAAAUAAGCACUUUUGAAAAUAGUGCUCAAACAAACUGAAUAAAAUUGUUCUUUGUAGCCAUGUAGCAUUCCAGCCUUGUAAUUUGCUGGGUUUAUAUAUUAUUGUGUAAUAUAUUAUUUUUUUCUAUAUUUAUUGUUUUUUGUAAUGUAUAGAGUUAUGUGAUUUUCCAUCACGUGAUGAAAAAACAUCAUGGGUAAAAACACUUAACAUGAAAUCCCAUAUCUAGAAUUCAAGUUAUCAAACCAUUGCUAUCACAUAAUUACAAUAUUCACUUAAAUUUUUUUUAAGCACAUUUGAUACAACACAGAAAACCACAGUUGGGGUUUAUCCUAGGUGAUCAGGGUGCUUCAGGGAACCAUCAGAUUACUUCUUCCACUUAAUGGCAUUACAUGCUGUUUACGUACCACAUUUUUUACCUUCUAGACUUUUCUUAUCAUUAACCCUCAUAGUUUAGACACCUUUAUGUUUGUUUUGUUACUCCCUCUCCAUCUCAAUAGAAUUUGUUUUUGUCACACCAUAUCCCAUUAUCACUUAAGCUUCUGGGAUGACAAAAAUAAUAAGCAGUCAAUUUCUUUUUGUAGAAAUCUCUACUGACUAACAGUUCCAAAAUGAGGUAAAUGUAACUGCUCCUUCGCUAUAUAUUUAUUGUCCAUGUAAAUCAAAUACAACAUUACAUAAUGGAAAGAUAAAACAUUUGAGGGAAAAAAAUGAAACAGUUUGGGUUUAAUAAAGAAAAAUUGGCUAUAUCAUACAGUUAGAACAAAAAAUAUUUUUUCCUUCAUGGGAUUUUAAUUUUGCUUCACCAAUGUGUUUGAUUUUUCUGACAGAUAUUAUCUCACUAGUCCCCCAGUGGGACAGCAGUGAGUUUAUGAACUCACCAUGCUAAAAUCCGGGGUUUGAUUCCCCAUGGUAGACACAGCCGAAUGUGGCUUUCCUCUACAACAAACAAAACUUCAGUGGAAUUUCUUUCUAAGCUGUCUAACAAAUUAUAUCUGUUACUUUGUCAGCUAAUGUACCAUAUAAAAUAUCAUAUUGGUCUUUUACACCAUCAACAAGCCAUUCAGUUUCUUAGGUAGAAAUAUUACACAUAAGUUGCAUUUUAGGUUGAUUCCAUGGUAGAUUGUCAAUAUCUGAUGUUUUGGUAGCUUUAUACGUUUUUACAGUAGAAUGUCUACAGAAAUACAAAGAAUGUGACUAGUAAAGACAGCUGUUAACAGCUUAUAAUGUAGCUCAUGAAUAUUGUUGUGUCCCUGCCUCUUACUGUAUAGAAGCUGUUUUGCUACUGGGAUAACUUUUGAUGUUAAUUCUUUUUAUAUCUUUACAAAAUACACAACUUCAAUGCGUGUUGUUUUAUCAUAGGUUUAAACUUUCAGUAUAGGCUACUGGAAUAUGACCCUUGGACAACAUUUCUAAGCCCCCAGUGGCAAAGUGGUAUUUCUGCAGACUUACAAAACUAGAAAUGUGGUUUUGGUACCAGUGGAGGGCAGAGCACAGAUAGCCCAUUGUAUAACUUUAUGCUUAAUUACAAACAAAACAAACAUAUUUCUAAGUUUGUGAACAUUGUAUAUAACAACCAAUUUACCACCUAUUAAAAUAUAACAGAGAAAGUUCCUAGCGCUUGUCGUUAUGUUAUGCGAACAUUGUAUAUAACAACCAAUUUACCAUCUAUUAAAAUAUAACAGAGAACGUUCCUAGCACUUGUCAUUAUGUUAUGCGAACAUUGUAUAUAACAACCAUUUUACCAUCUAUUAAAAUAUAACGGAGAAAGUUCCUCGCACUUGUCAUUAUGUUAUGCAAACAUUGUAUAUAACAACCAAUUUACCAUCUAUUAAAAUAUAACAGAGAACGUUCCUAGCACUUGUCAUUAUGUUAUGUGAACAAAUCUCUUAAGUUGAGUCUGAAUUUUUUCAAAUCUAUAGACAAUCUAAGUGCUUGUCUUUUCAAAAAACCAAACAUAAGAACAACAGAAACUGAAGUUACAAUUGAUUGUAAAAUUUGAACUUAAAAUCAAAGAUGUGAAUACAGUUAAAAAUUUAGUCUGUACUUUUAUACAAAUAUGAUCUUUAGUUGCUAGCCUUGGUUUGAUAUCACACUCUUCAGGGGGCAGUGAAAAGUUAAUUAGAAGAACUGAACAAUAAAAGUGUGUUGUAUGGUUUUUAUACUUCAAGAUUGUUGUAUUAUGGGUUUAACAAAUACACAUUUUUUUCACUCAAAGUUUUAAGCUUGCCUAUAUUGAAACUACAGAUCACAUAGUUCUCACUAAUGUUUUUAAAAAUGGAAAAAUAGAUGUGGAAGAAAAUUAAACUAGAAGUGAAAAAUUGGUAAUGUGAAAAGAUGCUGUUAUUAUGGGAAUAAGCUGGAUCUGAUGUGGUCAUGGAAUUAACAGGAAUAGAUCUGUUAUGGAAAUAAUGUAAACAGAUACUUUGUUGGGGGAAUGGUUUUAUCUUGUUUUACUAUGAAACCAGACACUGGAUGUUAAAUGGGUAGGAUACAACCUGUAUUGUGUUUAUCAAAAGUUAAAUUACU